This 253-nucleotide ribosomal RNA is filed under the name uncultured bacterium. RNAcentral's name for it is "partial 16S ribosomal RNA". It matches the Rfam family "Bacterial small subunit ribosomal RNA", at positions 524 to 776 of the family's 1533-position model. The record is from RNAcentral.
UACGAAGGGGGCUAGCGUUGCUCGGAAUCACUGGGCGUAAAGCGCACGUAGGCGGCUUUCUAAGUCAGGGGUGAAAUCCUGGAGCUCAACUCCAGAACUGCCUUUGAUACUGGAGAGCUCGAGUCCGGAAGAUGUGAGUGGAACUGCGAGUGUAGAGGUGAAAUUCGUAGAUAUUCGCAAGAACACCAGUGGCGAAGGCGGCUCACUGGUCCGGUACUGACGCUGAGGUGCGAAAGCGUGGGGAGCAAACAGG